AGGGGUGCCGGCACUGCCGAGGCAGCGCCUCAAACUCGUCCUCGCCCCUACGUUCGCCUGGGCUGCGCGGGGACCCGCGGCCAUCGUGGGUGGGAUACCCGCGCCCCCACCGCUGCCCGCCGCGGAGGAGCCGGCUGGCCAGAGCGCACCUUACCUCGAAGAGGGGACCGAUCUUAUUCUUCUCCAGCCUGACUUCUCAAAGCAGCAGCACGUCCAGACCUGCUGAGAUAUGGCCAUUUCAGAACCCGCAAACUGUCACUGCUCUGUGGAGACCAGGAAGAGGACAGAAGAAAAGGAACAAGACUGUCAGCAAUAUGAGACAGAAUGAAUAGAAAAGAUAAUUUAUUAAAAGAGGUUUUAAAGAUAGC
This is a non-coding RNA of Lonchura striata (white-rumped munia), 368 nucleotides long. The record is from RefSeq and is a predicted model, not a curated record. NCBI's taxonomy places the organism in Eukaryota, Metazoa, Chordata, Aves, Passeriformes, Estrildidae.